AAUUUAUGAGCUUGUAAAGCAUAUAUUUUGAAAAUAUAAGAAAAAACAAUAAAGUUUUAUAAAUUU
This 66-nucleotide transfer RNA is filed under the name Diptera sp. 69 LC-2017. RNAcentral's name for it is "tRNA-Ser". Lineage: Eukaryota; Metazoa; Arthropoda; Insecta; Diptera. The record is from RNAcentral.